UUUUGACCUCAAAUCAGGUAGGACUACCCGCUGAACUUAAGCAUAUCAAUAAGCGGAGGAAAAGAAACUAACAAGGAUUCCCCUAGUAACUGCGAGUGAAGCGGGAAAAGCUCAAAUUUAAAAUCUGGCGGUCUCCGGCCGUCCGAGUUGUAAUCUGGAGAAGCGUUUUCCGCGUCNGACCGUGUACAAGUCUUCUGGAACGGAGCGUCGUAGAGGGUGAGAAUCCCGUCUCUGANACGGACUGCCGAUGCUUUUGNGAUACGCUCUC
RNAcentral lists this ribosomal RNA (268 nucleotides) under uncultured Tylospora. RNAcentral describes it as "partial 28S ribosomal RNA". It matches the Rfam family "Eukaryotic large subunit ribosomal RNA", at positions 1 to 258 of the family's 3401-position model. Lineage: Eukaryota; Fungi; Basidiomycota; Agaricomycetes; Atheliales; Atheliaceae. The record is from RNAcentral.